Molecule: long non-coding RNA, 934 nt
Organism: Mercenaria mercenaria
Lineage: Eukaryota; Metazoa; Mollusca; Bivalvia; Venerida; Veneridae
Exons: 3
Source: RefSeq, a predicted model, not a curated record
UAUGCGAAAACGCAAAACCAAUAACUUUACAUGACUGAGUACUGUGAUUUAUAUUCCAUUAUUUUGGUCCUUCAAAGUUUUGACGUUUAGAUUGCCCGUCACAAAUAUAAAACAAUCUGAACGGCGAAUUAUUUUGACUAGUAACAUAUAUGCCUCGUGCAGAAAACCUAGGAUCUGUUUUACAAAGACUUUGAUAUGUCUGAGUUUAGUCAGGCAUAAGUUUUCAUUAACCUUUACCCUGCUAAGUUUCUAAAAUGAACUGAUCCAUCGUUCAGUUUGGACAGUACCAUCUAUUUUUCGAUGUGCAGGCUGACCUUGGUCUGCACUGGUCGCAAAGGCAGAAUCACUUGUUGCUAGUAGGCUAAAGGUUAACCGUAAACUAGUUGUGAAACUGAUUCAAGGUUGUUUACAUCUAAAAUGCAAGACAGUAAAUUCUCAAAAUUUAUUUUAUGCACAACUACUGUUGUGUGUGCUUAAAUUGUAGAUUAUUACAAAGUAGCUCUAAUUUGAAAUUUUUUGCUGUUGACAGGUUUCCAUGUUGUCUGCUGUUGGAAGAACAUCUAUGAGGGACUAUGAAUAGAAUCUUUAUCUUCUGCUUAUAUACAACACUUACUCAUGGGCCAGUGGCACAAUUUCUAGCUGUACAAGGAUAUAAUGGUGUUUGAUAAGUUGAUGACAAUGAAACUAAUGACCAUGUUAACAUCAGAGGAAAAGCAAACUGGGAGAAGAAAGGACAACAUUGUUUUCGAUCUUGAAGGCCUGCGUAGACAUAGGACCAGGGAAAGGGGGGCUAGGAGUGGGAGAAGUGCCUGUGACUGAUAUAUGCACUAUCAGAUAGAAAUCCAGUUCAAAAGGAAAUCUGAAAUAGUGAAAUAGCAGAAAUCAUGACUUACAUACUGUAUAAUCUGCUCUAAAAAAACAAACAUUUGAAUUU